AGAGUUUGAUCCUGGCUCAGGACGAACGCUGGCGGCGUGCCUAAUACAUGCAAGUCGAACGGUCUUUUCUAUGGAAGCUUGCUUCCACUGAGAAGAUAGUGGCGGACGGGUGAGUAACACGUGGGUAACCUGCCCAUAAGAGGGGGAUAACAUCCGGAAACGGGUGCUAAUACCGCAUAGUUUUCUUGAUCGCAUGAUCGAGAAAGGAAAGACGGCCUUUGUGCUGUCGCUUAUGGAUGGACCCGCGGCGUAUUAGUUAGUUGGUGAGGUAAUGGCUCACCAAGACGAUGAUACGUAGCCGACCUGAGAGGGUGAUCGGCCACAUUGGGACUGAGACACGGCCCAAACUCCUACGGGAGGCAGCAGUAGGGAAUCUUCCGCAAUGGACGAAAGUCUGACGGAGCAACGCCGCGUGAGUGAAGAAGGUUUUCGGAUCGUAAAACUCUGUUGUCAGAGAAGAACAAGUUGGAGAGUAACUGCUCCAGCCUUGACGGUAUCUGACCAGAAAGCCACGGCUAACUACGUGCCAGCAGCCGCGGUAAUACGUAGGUGGCAAGCGUUGUCCGGAUUUAUUGGGCGUAAAGCGAGCGCAGGCGGUUCCUUAAGUCUGAUGUGAAAGCCCACGGCUCAACCGUGGAAGGUCAUUGGAAACUGGGGAACUUGAGUGCAGAAGAGGAGAGUGGAAUUCCAUGUGUAGCGGUGAAAUGCGUAGAUAUAUGGAGGAACACCAGUGGCGAAGGCGACUCUCUGGUCUGUAACUGACGCUGAGGCUCGAAAGCGUGGGGAGCAAACAGGAUUAGAUACCCUGGUAGUCC
RNAcentral lists this ribosomal RNA (815 nucleotides) under uncultured bacterium. RNAcentral's name for it is "bacterial SSU rRNA". It matches the Rfam family "Bacterial small subunit ribosomal RNA", at positions 8 to 796 of the family's 1533-position model. The record is from RNAcentral.